UUUUAGUGUAAAAUGUCGGCGAGCGGCGGACGGCUGAGUAACGCGUGGGAACGUACCCCAAAGUGAGGGAUAACGCAUCGAAAGGUGUGCUAUACCGCAUAUGGUCUUCGGAUUAAAGCCUUCGGGCGCUUUGGGAACGGCCUGCGUAAGAUUAGAUAGUUGGUGGGGUAAUGGCCUACCAAGUCGACGAUCUUUAACUGGUUUGAGAGGAUGAUCAGUCAGACUGGAACUGAGACACGGUCCGG
Molecule: ribosomal RNA, 245 nt
Filed under: uncultured bacterium
Lineage: Bacteria
Description: partial 16S ribosomal RNA
Rfam family: Bacterial small subunit ribosomal RNA
Source: RNAcentral